CCUACGGGUGGCUGCAGUGAGGAAUAUUGGUCAAUGGGCGGAAGCCUGAACCAGCCAAGUAGCGUGCAGGAUGACGGCCCUAUGGGUUGUAAACUGCUUUUAUGCGGGGAUAACCGGGGCCACGCGUGGCCCCCUGCAGGUACCGCAUGAAUAAGGACCGGCUAAUUCCGUGCCAGCAGCCGCGGUAAUACGGAAGGUCCGGGCGUUAUCCGGAUUCAUUGGGUUUAAAGGGAGCGUAGGCCGUGGAUUAAGCGUGUUGUGAAAUGUAGGCGCUCAACGUCUGACUUGCAGCGCGAACUGGUCCACUUGAGUGUGCGCGACGCAGGCGGAAUUCGUGGUGUAGCGGUGAAAUGCUUAGAUAUCACGAGGAACCCCGAUUGCGAAGGCAGCUUGCGGGAGCACCACUGACGCUGAGGCUCGAAGGUGCGGGUAUCGAACAG
This 440-nucleotide ribosomal RNA is filed under the name uncultured bacterium. RNAcentral's name for it is "bacterial SSU rRNA". It matches the Rfam family "Bacterial small subunit ribosomal RNA", at positions 338 to 775 of the family's 1533-position model. The record is from RNAcentral.